GCUUGUUCAUGGCUCAGAAUCAACGCUGGCGGCGCGCCUAACACAUGCAAGUCGCACGAGAAAGCAGGGGCAACCUNNNNNNNACAGUGGCGAACGGGUGAGUAACACGUGGGUGAUCUACCUCUUAGUGGGGAAUAACCCUGGGAAACCGGGGCUAAUACCGCAUAAGCCCGAGAGGGGAAAGCAGCAAUGCGCUGAGAGAGGAGCCCGCGGCCGAUUAGCUGGUUGGUGAGGUAAGAGCUCACCAAGGCGAAGAUCGGUAGCCGGCCUGAGAGGGCACACGGCCACACUGGCACUGAAACACGGGCCAGACUCCUACGGGAGGCAGCAGUGGGGAAUCUUGCACAAUGGGGGAAACCCUGAUGCAGCGACGCCGCGUGAGCGAUGAAGCCCUUCGGGGUGUAAAGCUCUUUCGGCAGGGAAGAUGAUGACGGUACCUGCAGAAGCAGCUGCGGCUAACUACGUGCCAGCAGCCGCGGUAAUACGUAGGCAGCAAGCGUUGUUCGGAGUUACUGGGCGUAAAGGGUGUGUAGGCGGUCGUUUAAGUUUGGUGUGAAAUCUCCCGGCUCAACUGGGAGGGUGCGCCGAAUACUGAGCGGCUCGAGUGCGGGAGAGGAGAGUGGAAUUCCUGGUGUAGCGGUGAAAUGCGUAGAUAUCAGGAGGAACACCGGUGGUGUAAACG
This 682-nucleotide ribosomal RNA is filed under the name uncultured bacterium. RNAcentral describes it as "bacterial SSU rRNA". It matches the Rfam family "Bacterial small subunit ribosomal RNA", at positions 11 to 723 of the family's 1533-position model. The record is from RNAcentral.